Molecule: long non-coding RNA, 423 nt
Filed under: Anser brachyrhynchus (Pink-footed goose)
Lineage: Eukaryota; Metazoa; Chordata; Aves; Anseriformes; Anatidae
Description: lncRNA (ENSABRG00000010881.1)
Source: RNAcentral
ACACAGAGAAGAGCAGGAGUGGAGGUGUGCGCAUAAACAUUUGCCUCGGAGAAAGAAGUGUUUCCACCAGGAUGCUCUCAAGGAGGAUUAAAUAGUGGAAUGAACCUUCCAGCUUGGUGGAUGUGCUGGAGUGAAUCAGAAAGGGCGAGUUUCCUGAAGGCCUGGGAAAAGUUUCCUGAAGGCACAGUGGAAAGCUGUGCCACUGCAUGCGUGCCCCUCUCUGUCGGUCGGCACGAGGUCCCUGCAGGUGCCUGCUCUCUGUGCACCUGGGAACAGCAACUGCAAACCCGAGUGGGUGCCUGCCAUCACCCAACAUCCCUCCCAUGUGAAGUAAUGCCCUCCUCAUCCCGCAAAGAAUUUCAUCCGAAGCCUGGAUUCUCCACCAGCCUCAUUAGCCCUUGGAGCAGAUUCUACUGGCUUUGA